AUGGAAGAACUAGGGUUGAAGGAAGAAGAUCUGGACGAUGUAGUCUUUGAUGAAGAUUAGGCGCCUCCAGUGGAGGCAGGUUGGAUCGCGCUUGCUAGGGUUAAUACCAACAAGAGCUACAGCCAGACCUGGUUUUACAGAAACAUGAGAUCGGCUUGGGACAUAGCGCAGGAGGUGAAAUUUAAGCCCCUCGAAGAUAAUCUCUAUACUAUACAAUUCUCUUGCUUGGGAGAUUGGGAG
This 240-nucleotide ribosomal RNA is filed under the name Triticum aestivum (bread wheat). Its description in RNAcentral is "partial small subunit ribosomal RNA". The record is from RNAcentral. Lineage: Eukaryota; Viridiplantae; Streptophyta; Magnoliopsida; Poales; Poaceae.